UUUGUUUUUCUUUUCUUCCCAUUUCAUUUUGAUUUUUACGGGAAUUGUAAAGAAAUAUGGAGGAAACUCUA
RNAcentral lists this non-coding RNA (71 nucleotides) under Protocruzia adhaerens. The record is from RNAcentral. Lineage: Eukaryota; Ciliophora; Spirotrichea.